This is a long non-coding RNA of Eriocheir sinensis (Chinese mitten crab), 837 nucleotides long. RefSeq lists it as uncharacterized. Lineage: Eukaryota; Metazoa; Arthropoda; Malacostraca; Decapoda; Varunidae. The transcript has 3 exons. The record is from RefSeq and is a predicted model, not a curated record.
UGCAACCUUCACAGACUGACAGAGAUUGAGUGAUAACAGACACUGGAGACCCUCCAAGCGAUGGCUGGUGACCGCCUGCCACCAUCCACAGGCUGUCACACAAGGAGCCCUGGGAGUAACCUUGCUGGAAGCCCCGCGGGCCGCAGUGUGUGGCUGGCGUUAUACAGCCCCCAGCCAUCGCCUGGAGGGCAUCCAGUGUCUGUUAUCACUCACCUUAGGUAGUCUGUGAAGGUCCAGUCAUCACUGGUGCACGUGUAUCUUACCUGUGAUCAACACCGGCAGCCACAGACUCCUGCCCAAGGAACGAACACAGUGAUCGUGAUGACAUUGACAACAACGAGCAAGUCCUCCUAGACCUAGAGUGACCUCAAGCUGGGCCAAACAUGAUGUGGAAGAAGAAAUCAGUUGUCUCCAUCAGUCGGGUUUGUGCCAUGGCAGCUUUCUCCAGCUGUCCGGCAGAGGUCCAGUCCAUGCCAUGGAGAAAUUCAGCCCCCAACAAUGAGAUGGCAUGCCAGAGAUGGAUCCGCAGCUUCUCCUCCAAUCAGUCAAUCCUUGCAAUGCCCUUUCUCUUGUCUCUCCCUCCAUACCACCAUGCUUACACAUAACUGAUCCAAGGUACUUAAACUCGUUAACCUCCUCCAUUUCUUCACCAUUCAAAAUUAUUUGGCAUUCUUUUUCACAUUCAAUGCCCACUCUAUAUGGGCAUACAAACUCUACAACCUCCCUUCUACUCCGCUCACAAACCAUCACUUUACUUUUGUUGACAUUUACUUUCAACUUUCUCCUUUUACAUACACUAUCAAAGACACUGACCAAAUUUUGUAAGUCACUUUCAUU